UGGAAUCUGAAUGCAUUCACAGGGCCGGCACACCCAGCUCAGCCGUUUGCUUUACUCUGAUUAAUUUAGCAAAUGAAACUCCCGUAAACCCGCAUAACGUGUGCCCACACACAGCUGCGGUGCCCCGCGGUCCCGGGGGAGAGCCGGGUGCGCUCCGAAGAGGGACCUGAAUGGUGUAACCGAGGCUUUUUGUUGGGAAGCGUUUCUGUGCGCAGUGACGUUUUCCGUCGGGGCUCACGGCCGGCACGAGGCGAGGCUGCCCUUCAGGAGAAGCGCCUUUAUUUCCGUGCGCGAGGAAAGCGGCCGCUGCUGGGGAUGCUCCUCGGGAAGGCUGAAAUCAUUCUCCACCGUGAUAGGGCAGGAAGUAAACGCUAAAGGCCUGGGAAUUCCGGUGUUGUGUGAACCUGAAGGCACUGCUGAUUUUCGGUGUUGGCAACUUCUGCACUUCUCUGCAUCCCUCUGCCACAGGGGAAAGGUGUGCAGCAGAGGAAGGUUCCAAGACGGGCUCAGUGUCUUGAAGGAAGAUGUUAACUGUGUUCUUACUCAACAGCUGGUACGCAACAAAGGCCCAUCCUAAUGCCAGUGGAAAUCAGUGUGUCUUUCUGGGAUGUUGGUUACAGAUCUGAUUUAACCUCUUUGGAACAAGGAGUUUUAUUUUUGUCAGAAAACUUGCGUGGGAAAUCGCUGUCAGUUCUCUCUUAACUCCAGAUGCUGACCCAGCCUGAAUCCUCUGGAUCUCUUUUCUUGUCAGGCAAACUCAUGUGUUGUAGAACUUAAGAAGGAAAAUAAUAUCAUGUGCAUCACAGCUUGAAUUCCCUGCUAGAAAAGGGUUCUGGAAUGCACUUAAUCUGAAAUGCUCAGUUCUGUGCUGCUUAAUGCUCAGGCCUGUUAUUGAUGGCCCUGCUGCAUGGGCUGCCAGUGGUAGCUGUGGGCUGGGGAGGUGCCCUUCAUGGGCACAUGGGCGUACAUGGGAGUCAUUCUGGGAUGUGGGCGCAGUGGGGUGGACGCUUCUUCUCCUCUCUUGGAGAAGCGAACAGCUUAAACCAAUCUUGAUUCCAUGGUGGGGAAGUGAUCUCUCAUACUUGGAGCACUGAGGGAGCUCUUGGUAAACCUGGGCAGAAUGGCUUCAUUUCUGGAAUGGCAGUAAUACAUGGCAUGGGUAAAGCCAUUAAUUUCUUACACAAAAAUCCUGUAGCCAUGCAUUUACUGAAGGGCAGCUUGAGUGUAAACAACUAAUUGUAAAGGAUGGGUGAUUAUUUUCUGGUUUCCAUUCCGAGGUAGAUGGAGAAAUGUUUACAUCUCCUAUAGGUAUGAUUGAUGUGGAGAACAAACACAAAAAUCUUUUACUGGGUCAGCAGGUUACUUAGAAAUGUGUGGAAAGGUUAAUCCCAAAGCUUCUGUCCUUCUGCAGUGACCAUUGUUAUUUAUGUAUUCAUAACCCUGGAAAAGUCAUACAGACCUUUCCCCCCACGCCAGGAAGUCACACUCCUGCAUUUACCUGUUACAAAUGGCUAACUAAAGUAAUCCACAGUUUUUAUGACCUCUCACUGCACUUCAAAAUGAGAUUUUUGGGGUGGUUUUUUGUUUUCAGUUCUUUGAGAGCUCUUGGUGAGGUAUUACUUUCUGCUCAGGUGUAACUGAAAUCCUGGGUCGUCUAUUCAAGAAUGUUAUUGCCUACAGGAUAUUAAUUGCUUCUCAAACCUUAGAACUAUUCCAACUUUCAAAGGUUAAUGGAGCAGACAGAUUUAGGACAUGUUCCUUAGCACACGGGCUAUCCUCCCUUCCAGAAAUAUGACACUCACUGGAGAUGGGUCAUUCAUUUUUAUUGUUUGAAAUGUAACGAAGCAUGGCACUUAUAAUCCUCUGGCUGGGAACAUCUUGCUUGUGGAAAACAGGCCACAAUGCGUGCUGCUUUUAUGGGUGUUAGCACUCCAUCCAUGUUCCCAUUCUGGACUGCAGGCUCAGAGGUGCACUUUGCAUCUGGAGGUGCUGGGAGCUUCUGAACCUGCACUGACUUGAGCAAAUGGAAGAGGUGCCGUGUGUGGCUGUGUCCGUUGGUUAGCCCUCGUGAAAGGCAGUGCAGCCCUGCAGGAACUGAGCACCUCAGUCAGUUUGUCUGCUUUGCUUUCAUGUAAAGUCCCCCCCAGCCCUCCUGCAGCACAGCGCUGGGGGCUGCAUUGCACUGGGUUGACACAAGCUUGCUUUUCUGUAGUGUAAAACAUACUCAGCUGCAAUCUGGAGUGAAAUGUUAGUUUCUUUACGUGCCAGCAGGCCAGGCCCUUGAACUCUGUGCUAGAUAAUGCUCCUGAACAGCAGCAACAAAUUCCUCGUGGGAACUUCAUUAUCCAGUCCUAAUUUUCAGAAGUUACCUAAAUUCCAACUAUCACAAACCCUUGGCAAAGCAACUGCGGAGUUCUGAUAGAUGUUCGAUAGGCCUCAGGAUUUACUGGGAAGGUUCAGGAGGUCCCCUCAUCCACACCCACUGCGGGCUCUGGAACUUUAAAACUAUUUGCCCAGGUUGUGCGCAAGCAGUGCGGUGGGACACGCGGCUGCCCACAGUGUGGGUAAUCUCCGGCUUCUUGUCUUUGUUCUGUACAAACGGGUGCAGCAGUUUGUCUUGCCAAGCUCUCCCACCCACUGAAAAUAAGGCUGAGGAGGUCUGGAUUUGUUUUGUGUCAGUUAAGAACCAGGUCUCUUCGUCCCAUUGAUGCUGUGAGUAACAAGCAUCUGUGUUCUGUGCAAAACACACAGAGUUUUAG
Molecule: long non-coding RNA, 2759 nt
Organism: Gallus gallus (chicken)
Lineage: Eukaryota; Metazoa; Chordata; Aves; Galliformes; Phasianidae
Source: Ensembl